RNAcentral lists this ribosomal RNA (1288 nucleotides) under human oral metagenome. RNAcentral describes it as "bacterial LSU rRNA". It matches the Rfam family "Bacterial large subunit ribosomal RNA", at positions 686 to 1978 of the family's 2925-position model. The record is from RNAcentral.
AAGAGGGCAUAAGUCAAGUAUACUAGACCCGAAACUGGGUGAGCUUCCCAUGAGCAGGCUGAAGUAUAGGUAAAACUGUAUGGAGGGCCGAACCAAUUGGAGCUGCAAGUCCUUUGGAUGACUUGUGGGAAGGAGUGAAAAGCUAAUCGAACCCAGAGAUAGCUGGUUCUCCGCGAAAUAGCUUUAGGGCUAGCCUUGGUGAACUAUUAUAUAGGGGUAGAGCUCUGAUUGGGCUAGCGGGCUUCACGGCUUAGUCAACCCAGACAAACUUCGAAUACUAUAUAAAUUACACCAGGAGUCAGACGGUGAGAGAUAAGUCCCAUCGUCAAAAGGGAAACAGCCCAGAUUACUAUCUAAGGUCCCUAAUUAACAACUAAGUGGCAAAGGAUGUGGGGUUGCUGAGACAACCAGGAGGUUGGCUUAGAAGCAGCCAUUCCUUAAAAGAGUGCGUAAUAGCUCACUGGUCAAGCGACCCUGCGCCGAAAAUACAACGGGGCUCAAGUUGUUAACCGAAGAUGUAAAAUCGUAAGAUUGGUAGCGGAGCGUUCUGUAAGCCGCAGAAGGUGAGGGGUAACCCGAGCUGGAGGUAUCAGAAGCGAAAAUGUUGGUAUGAGUAACGAGAGGGAAAUGAAAACAUUCCCCAUCGGAAACCCAAGGUUUCCUACGCAACGGCAGUCGUCGUAGGGUUAGUCGGUCCUAAGGUGAAGCUGAAAGGCAAAGCUGAUGGAUACCAGGUUAAUAUUCCUGGACUACUUAUAUAACUGAAGGGGGGACAUAUUUGGAUAUAAGAGAUACUUAAUUACUUGUAUUACGAAAGCGAAACUAGGGAUAUAGGCAAAUCCGUAUUCCUAUUAAAGUUGAGCUAAGUUAAGUUGAUGGAAGCCAUUAUUGGUGGAAAGAUUCUGCUCUUACUAUAUUCAGGUAUCGAGAAAAGCCUCUAAGGGUUAAUUGUAUAAGUAACCGUACCGCAAUCAAACACAUGUGGGUUGGUGGAGAACACCAAGAUGAACGAGAAAACUAUGCUUAAGGAACUCGGCAAAACAGCGGUCGUAACUUCGGGAUAAGACCUGCCUAGAGUGUAAUUUACAAACUAGGCCGCAGCGAAAGAACUCAGGCGACUGUUUACCAAAAACACAGCUCUCUGCAAACUCGUAAGAGGAAGUAUAGGGGGUGAUGCCUGCCCAGUGUCAGAAGGUUACAUGGAUGUGUGAGAGCAUUGAAAUCAAGCCCUGAUGAACGGCGGCCGUAACUAUAACGGUCCUAAGGUAGCGAAAUUCCUUGUCGGGUA